AUUGAACGCUGGCGGCAGGCCUAACACAUGCAAGUCGAGCGCGAAAGUACUUCGGAAUGAGUAAAGCGGCGGACGGGUGAGUAAUACAUGGGAAUCUGCCUGGUAGUGGGGGACAACGUUUCGAAAGGAACGCUAAUACCGCAUACGCCCUACGGGGGAAAGGGGGGGAUCUUCGGACCCCUCGGCUAUCAGAUGAGCCC
This 200-nucleotide ribosomal RNA is filed under the name uncultured bacterium. RNAcentral's name for it is "partial 16S ribosomal RNA". It matches the Rfam family "Bacterial small subunit ribosomal RNA", at positions 30 to 232 of the family's 1533-position model. The record is from RNAcentral.